UAUAGUCUCGGUUUCAGUAACUAUGAGUUCCAUCAGAAAAUGUCAUGUCACUUCAAUAUUUAAGUUUGGUUGCUUGUGCGGUGUACAAGUGAUGACAAAUGAUGAUGAGAGUUCUACAGUAGUGUCCCGUAGCUAGAUGCCCGGAUCAACGACUCUGCCCUGUCAUCUUCACUAUCUACCACACUCCUGCAAUGACGGUCUGGCCCACAGGGUUGUAGUUGCAGGAGACCACUGUCUUGAUAGGUGACGAUUGUGAUGUUGAUAAAAUGUCAAAACUUUGAACAAUAUGUCUGUGACUAUGAACACAAGGCUGUUAAACAGAUGACUGGGUGUACUCCACUGAUGGAUUAAUCCUCUAAUUGCUGGUUGCCGGAUGUUGGUAAUAUUGAUGAUUACGAUAGUAGCGAUAGUUGAGAUCUAUAGAUAUGAUUGAGAUGACCGAAGUACAGCAAUAGUUGAGAUAAAACAGUGAUAGGUCUCACCUGCAAGGCAAUAACUCGCCCUAAGCUGCAGGGUAGCGAAUAGACAGUAACAAGAACAGACUCUUGUCAUGUCCCUUGGAUAAGCUGCAUAGAAACUGCUAAAUAAAACGUUACAGUUGAUAAAUGUUCGUCCUUACAUGUUAAACAAUAUUUGCAAUUUCACGCACACACGCACUCUACAGCACGGUCAAUUAAACAUUGUAAUGUUACAUCAUGGGUGAUUGUCUCUACACCACAUCACAUUCGCCCACUAACUUUCCAUGAGCAGGUGACACACUUAUCAGCUAUGCCUAUGUGUCGGUCAAGACUUUUGCUCUCUCUACCCUACGGUAGGGGAAUGGACUGCCGGCGCACGGUACACUCCAAUGAGUCCGCCUUUGGCUGAGAUAAUGCGCUUAUAAAUUCCCACUUGUUUUAUCAUCAUCAUCAUCAUCAUCAUCAUCAAUCAUCAUUGUAGAAAAUAUGUUUUCUACUUUUGUGGCAUUUUGUGUAUUUAGUGGAUUUAGUGUGUUAGUCGGGUGGGGGUAAAGUUGUUUAGAAUGUCAAAGCAGUGAACUGGUCAAGCUGGCGGCAUAUCGGCCCGACUGGCGCGCCAAAUGUCUUGCCGCCCUAUUCAACACCACUAGCCAGUCGGCGCUAGCGACAACACCCGACGUAAGCGGCCACAAGUGAUGUAUACAAAGUGAAAUAACUGUGUACCCAGUAUUGUCCAGCUGAAGGCCGGGUACCGCCUAAGGCGAGCAACGCCCCUUACACCUGCGUUCAGAGCCUUUCUACACCUCCAAGGCCACCAGGAGGAAGUUACGCCCACCGGAACCAAGAAACCAACGAAGUCUGGGGAGGGGAAGAGAACGUCACUUCUCCGGGUAGAGAGCUGAGACUUGUUGCAUAGGCGUAGCGAAUCGAGCGAAGCUAGCCAAUCUAGCCGGAAGUGUAAAGAGCGCGCCCCUACAAGCUAGCGAACCUAGACCCCUAGCGUAGCAAAGCUAGCGGCCUUUGGAGGUCCUACGCUUGCUAUUCAAAAUGGCCGACUUUGUUGUCGGUUUCAAGUUUGCAGAUGAGAGUUUCUUUGAUGCUCCCGUUAAAAAGGAGUAUUGGACCGGAAACAAAGUGAAAUGAAUGUGGGAAAUCAAUGGACCAAGGGGGCAUACUUUUCCUCAUGGACACUUAUGCCAAACAUAAGGAACAAUUUGCAAUUCCAACUUGAAAAUAGAGGUAUGGAAGAGGAUUGCUUCGGAAAUGGCAGCCUCAGGAUGCCACUUUGCUCCAGCAGCACUUGAGAAAAAAAUGGAGCAAUAUGAAAAUAUGGUACAAAGCUAUAUUAGAUUUCAACAAGAAAACGGGCCAGGGAAGAUCACGAUGGAAUUUCUAUUCCAGAAUGGCUGAAAUCUUGGAAGGAGACCCUUUGUUCAUCCCACCACUGACAUCAUCACUGGGGAGUGUAAAAGUAAACACUCUCUCCGAGAUCUCCAAUACCCAGCAAUGUGCCACCCCUACAAAGAAGCAAG
RNAcentral lists this long non-coding RNA (1990 nucleotides) under Pomacea canaliculata. RNAcentral's name for it is "uncharacterized LOC112573671". The record is from RNAcentral. Lineage: Eukaryota; Metazoa; Mollusca; Gastropoda; Architaenioglossa; Ampullariidae.